Molecule: non-coding RNA, 23 nt
Filed under: Arabidopsis thaliana (thale cress)
Lineage: Eukaryota; Viridiplantae; Streptophyta; Magnoliopsida; Brassicales; Brassicaceae
Source: RNAcentral
GAGCUGGUGGACUGUGGUAGCUC